Molecule: non-coding RNA, 1695 nt
Organism: Podarcis muralis (Common wall lizard)
Lineage: Eukaryota; Metazoa; Chordata; Lepidosauria; Squamata; Lacertidae
Source: RefSeq, a predicted model, not a curated record
GGGUCCUAAGGAAGAGACAAAACUGUUGUCAGGGAAGAUUUGGGCUGUAAUUGUGCUUCUUGAUUGAUUGGGGCCCACAGUUGCAAGCUUACGAUAUCAGACUCAUUGGCCACAUUCUCACAGGAAAAUUAAACAGAUCUCCUAGUUUUUUGUGGUUUACUAUAAUUGAGCAGCAUAAGAUACACUGCCCAAUAACUCACCAUUCCGUAAUUCUUUGACAGAGAUAAAUAAAUGUGUAGGCCUUGGCUUCCCAUUAUGGCUAAAGCAGGCACUGUGAUUUUUUUGCUCCAUAACUGGGCACAUGACCAGCAAGCCAACGUUGGCUGGUGUUCAUAGCUUGGCAGGGAGCUACGAACCAUGAUCACAGUAGACCUCCUGCUUUGGUUUUCUCACUUGUUCUAGGAAAGUAGAAAUAGCUGGGCAGUAUGUGUGGGAUACCCAGCCUCAUAUAACCAACAUGCUUAACUAAUUAAUGCAUGAAAGGGUUAAGACCACAGAGUAAGCAGUCCUGCCAGGCUUAGCUAGGUCACCAAACUCUUUGUUGUUCCUUUCCACCAUGUGAACCCUACCAGUAAGGUGAUCUAAGCUGGAUGCUCCAAGCUUAGACCGUGUGGUUUAAGCAAGCCAUAUUUGUGUUUCUAUACAAAUGAUUUGGAAAUAUUUACCAUUUGGGAACCUGAGUUAUACUUCCUGUCUUUUUCUUGCUGCUGAAAGGAAAAGCACAUGACUCAGACCUUCGAAGAGUUUAGUUCUGCAGAAGAAGAAAGUUCUGCUACCUAGAGCUAUCAGGGAUACUGGAGUGGGGAGAAACAGCCAGAAGAGGCAUGGGGCAGGAAAGGCCCUUGUUGCCUCUUGCUUCCUGCCCCCACCUCCCCCCCUCACAUCUCAGGCAAUCUCCCAAAUACCAAAUUAGACUCUUAGUUUGGAAAAAGAACGUACAAAGGAUUUAAUUCUACUCAAGCCUUGCUGCCUCUUGCCCGCCCGCCUCAAAUCUCUCCAAUGCUGGAGUGGAAGAGACUCUUGAAGAGGUUUGGAGAAAAAACAGCAAGAAGAGCUUCAGGGGGCUAAUUUGAUUCGGCUCUCUUUUCUCAGCAACUAGGCUGGUUCCCGUUGCAGCUAGACAUCAGUUGAAGAAAGCUGGGAGAAAGUAAUUUUCUUGAUCUACACAAAGCACAUGCACCCACCCCGACACACAGAGAGCCCGCCAAUGUCCCAGUCUGUUCUUAUGGUUACAGAUCCUGCGCAGUUCUGUUAAAUCGGGGAUGUACGAAAAGAACAAAAACAGCCUCCCACAAAGCAAACUGUAAUUUAAUACUGUGUCAGCUAAUUAAGGGAAGGGGUGAUUAAGCGGAGAGCCAAAAAAGCAUACCCAGGGUAUUUUCUGCCAAACUCUGCCCAGUGGUGGAGACAGCAAGUAGAAAGACAGCAAUGAAUAUGUUGGGUAAGAAGAAGGGGUGGGUGCCAAUUGCAAACAGAGGAAAAUCAGGUCAGCAUGACCUUGUUGCAAGAUAAUGCUCCCAUCUGGACACAGCCUAACUCUAGGGGACCAGUCUCUUUUUCUGAAUGCUGUAUGGUAAAGCAGAUGAAUCUGACCUUUGGAGAGUUUUUAUGUAUCCUCCACUCACUCUUUCCCAUGAGGAAGUUCUCCAGAAACUCAUCCCAGUUUCCUGGUUCUGGCAACUCCUUGUUCAUGCG